This 2848-nucleotide ribosomal RNA is filed under the name gut metagenome. RNAcentral's name for it is "bacterial LSU rRNA". It matches the Rfam family "Bacterial large subunit ribosomal RNA". The record is from RNAcentral.
UUAAGUUAAUAAGGGCGUACAGUGAAUGCCUUGGCACUAGAAGACGAAGAAGGACGCGACUACCUGCGAAAAGCGACGGGGAGCUGGAAGUGAGCUUUGAUCCGUCGAUAUCCGAAUGGGGAAACCCGGCACGAUUUAUCUCGUGUCAUCUUGCGAGGAAUCUAUAUUCGCAAUGAAGAAACACCCAGUGAAUUGAAACAUCUUAGUAGCUGGAGGAAAAGAAAGAUUUAAUCGAUUCCGUCAGUAGCGGCGAGCGAAAGCGGAACAGCCCAAACCAACCUUAGGGUUGGGGUGUGGACCACAAUGUGGGAUGUGUGUUGAUGAAGGAGAAAGGCCUGGGAAGGCCUGCCAUAGUGGGUGAUAGCCCCGUAUCCGUAAGAUCAAUACCCCCUAGUGAGAUCCUGAGUACGGCGAAACAAGUUAUUUUGUCGGAAGGAGCGCAGACCACUGCGCAAGGCUAAAUACUAACUAGUGACCGAUAGUGAACCAGUACUGUGAAGGAAAGGUGAAAAGAACCCCGGGAGGGGAGUGAAAAGAAUCUGAAACUGUAUGCUUACAAAAAGUUAGAGCCCGUUAAAGGGUGAUAGCGUGCCUAUUGAAGAAUGAACCGGCGAGUUAUGAUGUGAUGCAAGGUUAAGCCGAAGAGGUGGAGCCGCAGCGAAAGCGCGUCUGAAUAGGGCGAAAGUAUCCCGUCAUAGACCCGAAACCCGACGAUCUAUCCAUGAGCAGGUUGAAGGUGGAGUACAAUCCACUGGAGGACCGAACCGACGUUCGUUGAAACGCCCGCGGAUGACUUGUGGAUAGGGGAGAAAUUCCAAUCGAGUUGGGAGAUAGCUGGUUCUCCUCGAAAUAGCUUUAGGGCUAGCGUAUGAUCAAUUGUUUGGUGGAGGUAGAGCACUGAAUGCCUGAUGGCCGCACCUAGCGGUACUGAAUGCAAUCAAACUCCGAAUUCCAUCAAAUCUACUCAUGCAGUCAGUCUGUGGGGGAUAAGCUCCAUGGACAAAAGGGAAACAGCCCAGACCAUCAAAUAAGGUCCCUAAAUUCAUGCUAAGUGUUAAAGGAUGUAGAGAUACUUAAACAGCUAGGAUGUUGGCUCAGAAGCAGCCACCAUUUAAAGAGUGCGUAACAGCUCACUAGUCGAGCGUCUCCGCGCCGAAGAUUUACCGGGGCUAAAGCAUGAUACCGAAUUUAUGGAUUUUAGAGUAAUCUAAAGUGGUAGAGGAGCGUUCCAUUUGCGGCGAAGCAAUACCGUAAGGAGUUGUGGAGCAUAUGGAAGUGAGAAUGCCGGUGUAAGUAACGAUAAUGGGUGAGAAUCCCAUUCACCAUUAGACUAAGGUUUCCUGGGGAAGGUUCGUCCUCCCAGGGUUAGUCGGGACCUAAGGCGAGGCCGAAAGGCGUAGUCGAUGGACAGCAGGUUUAUAUUCCUGCACCCGAAUAUAUGCGAUGUAGUGACAGAAAAGGCUAGUUGAUCCCUAUUAUUGGAUUUAGGGCAGAGCGGAGGACCUGUUGGAUUGGCAAAUCCGUCCAACAUUAAGGAAAGCCGUGCGGGAGCGAACAGGGCAACCUAAGUAGUGAAGUCAAUGAUGCCAGUUCUCUAGAAAAGCUGCUAGCUUAAGUAUAUUCGGCCCGUACCGAGAACGGACACACGUGGUCAAGGAGAGUAUCCUGAGGUGAGCGAGUUAACUGUUGUUAAGGAACUCUGCAAAAUUACUUCGUAAGUUCGCAAGAAGAAGUGCUCUCGAAAGAGAGUCGCAGUGAAGAGGCCCAGGUAACUGUUUAACAAAAACACAGCUUUAUGCUAAGCCGCAAGGCGAUGUAUAUGAGGUGAUGCCUGCCCAGUGCUGGAAGGUUAAAAGGAGGAGUUAGCCGCAAGGCGAAGCCCUGAUCUGAAGCCCCAGUGAACGGCGGCCGUAACUAUAACGGUCCUAAGGUAGCGAAAUUCCUUGUCAGGCAAGUUCUGACGCGCACGAAUGGUAUAAUAAUCUGGGCGCUGUCUCGACAGCAGACUCGGUGAAAUCUUAAUACCUGUGAAGAUGCAGGUUACCCGCGACUAGACGGAAAGACCCCAUGGAGCUUUACUAUAACUUAAUAUUGAUUGUCUGUGCUUUAUGCACAGGAUAGGUAGGAGACUUUGAAGCAGGAACUUUGGUUUCUGUGGAGUCAACCUUGGGAUACUACUCUUAAAUUGCGGACAAUCUAACCUACAACCUCACCGGUUGGGGAACAGUGUUAGGCGGGUAGUUUGACUGGGGCGGUCGCCUCCCAAAGUGUAACGGAGGCGCCCCAAGGUACCCUCAGUACGGUUGGAAAUCGUAUUUCGAGUGCAAAGGCAUAAGGGUGCUUGACUGCGAGACCUACAAGUCGAGCAGGGACGAAAGUCGGGCUUAGUGAUCCGGCGGUUCCGCGUGGAAGGGCCGUCGCUCAACGGAUAAAAGCUACCCUGGGGAUAACAGGCUGAUCUGAUCCAAGAGUUCACAUCGACGAUCAGGUUUGGCACCUCGAUGUCGGCUCAUCACAUCCUGGAGGGGAAGUACCUUCCAAGGGUUGGGCUGUUCGCCCAUUAAAGUGGUACGCGAGCUGGGUUCAAAACGUCGUGAGACAGUUUGGUCCCUAUCUGUCGUGGGCGCAGGAAGUUUGAGUGGAUCUGUCCUUAGUACGAGAGGACCGGGAUGGACAUAGCAAUGGUCUAUCGGUUGUCACGCCAGUGGCAUGGCCGAGUAGCUACCUAUGGAAUGGAUAAACGCUGAAAGCAUCUAAGCGUGAAGCCAGCCACAAGAUGAGACUUCCCAUUCGCAAGAAGUAAGACCCCCGCAAUGUUAGCGGGUUGAUAGGUCAGAGAUGUAAGUGC